Molecule: long non-coding RNA, 1214 nt
Organism: Halichondria panicea
Lineage: Eukaryota; Metazoa; Porifera; Demospongiae; Suberitida; Halichondriidae
Exons: 3
Source: RefSeq, a predicted model, not a curated record
CACACACACACACUAACCAGUCGAUUAUGCCUUGCUGCUUUCCCUCGAUGGAAGUAUGUGUGGCCUUUAAAAUCUGUAGCUGGUCUAAACCUUCAAUUUGAAAGGCAAUAAUAACAGGAAGGUUUCCAUAAUUAUGCUGACUCAACGAAUAUUGACACUAUUUGUUGCUGACUCAGCACUCUAUAUGAGGGGUCCAACACUGUAAUUUUUAGCGUACAAGAUUUCAAAAUCUCGAGAUUUCACAAAGAUUUCAGAGAUUUCAAAGAUUUCAGAGAUUUCACAGAGCAUCACUGGGGUUGAAGAUUGAAAGUUCUACCGUCAUUCAACACUUGCACUAGUCAUGCACCUCGGUCAUGGAUGCACUAGCACUUGCACUAGCACUUGCACUGUGAGCAGAUGCAAUCAAGGAAUAGAUGGGCGUGCCCGUCCCCUUUUUGUAGGCAGACCACGCCCAUCUAGUCAAGGCCAUGACACUGAGAUUACAAUAAGAUUACGGAAAAUGAGGUCAAAGGUGGGAUUUCAGAGAUUUCAAGAUUCGGGAUUUCAUGAGAUUUUAUGAGAUUUCAAAAGAUUUCAAAAGUAGGUGUACAAGAUUUCACGGAGUGUCGGACCCCUUGGCACUCUAUAUGCAAUUUUAAAUCAGCUAGCUAGCUACAGUCAUGUAGUUCUAGCAACUCUUCAAUCUAUGGUUCUAGUGAGGCAGAGCUCAUGUCAAUGAUUCUUCCAGAGACACUAGACUCAUGCAUAUAGAUCUACACUACUGUGGACUAGACUCAUCUACUUGUAAGAAGGUAGUACUGUACUGUAUGUAGGUGGCUGUUGAUUAUGUCAAGAAUUGCCAGCAUGAACUCGUGAGCAUCUUCUUGGUUUAUACCUGUUUGGAGCGUGGUAUGACUAUCCUAUAUAGCCGAAUGUCUUUUUCUAUCGCUAUAUAGGGUUGGACAGAAGGGUUAUGGCUGCCAGUGAUGCAUCUCAAUAAAAAACUGAGAGUUUUCAGCUGAGAGUUUCCAGACGGAAGAAACGUGGGAUACAUGCAGCCUCACUAUACAUGAUAACUUUUCACUUCACUUCACUUCCCUGAACAUAAUUUCUGUUACAAGUUUUACAUCGAAUGUGCAUGAAUAGUCUCUGUACCAUGACUGGUAUAAUCAAUGAAACUUGGAAGCAAAGCAUGUGUUUCAAAUGUUUAUGCAUGCCUCCUCCAACAUGCAAUA